UCAAUAAGCGGAGGAAAAGAAACUAACAAGGAUUCCCCUAGUAACGGCGAGUGAAGAGGGAAGAGCCCAAGAUUGAAAGCUGGCGUCUUCGGCGUCCGCAUUGUAAUCUCAAGAAAUGGUUUCCGCUUCGGACCAAGCCUAAGUCCCUUGGAAAAGGGCAUCAUAGAGGGUGAUAAUCCCGUUCUUGGCUUGGAGCGCCCGUAGCUUUGUGAUCUAUUUUCUAAGAGUCGAGUUGUUUGGGAAUGCAGCUCAAAAUGGGUGGUAAAUGCCAUCUAAGGCUAAAUAUUGGGGAGAGACCGAUAGCGAACAAGUACAGUGAUGGAAAGAUGAAAAGAACUUUGAAAAGAGAGUUAAACAGUACGUGAAAUUGCCAAAAGGGAAGGGUAGGAGGUCAGAGAUGCGGCCUGGGAUUCAGCCUUGCUUUUGCUUGGUGUUUUUCCCAGUUUGCAGGCCAACGUCGGUUUUGGGCACUGGAGAAGGGUAGGAGGAAUGUGGCACCUCUCGGGGUGUGUUAUAGCCUCCUACUGGAUACAGCGACCGAGACCGAGGACAGCAGCGUACUCGCAAGAGCGGGCCUUCGGGCACCUUUACGCUUAGGGCGUUGGCAUAAUGGCCCUCUACCACCCGUCUUGAAACACGGACCAAGGAGUCU
RNAcentral lists this ribosomal RNA (652 nucleotides) under Ustilago ixophori. Its description in RNAcentral is "LSU rRNA". It matches the Rfam family "Eukaryotic large subunit ribosomal RNA", at positions 43 to 676 of the family's 3401-position model. Lineage: Eukaryota; Fungi; Basidiomycota; Ustilaginomycetes; Ustilaginales; Ustilaginaceae. The record is from RNAcentral.